Molecule: ribosomal RNA, 447 nt
Filed under: uncultured bacterium
Lineage: Bacteria
Description: partial 16S ribosomal RNA
Rfam family: Bacterial small subunit ribosomal RNA
Source: RNAcentral
AGCGAACGCUGGCGGCAGGCUUAACACAUGCAAGUCGAACGCCCCGCAAGGGGAGGGGCAGACGGGUGAGUAACACGUGGGAACGUACCCUUUGGUUCGGAAUAACUUGGGGAAACUCAAGCUAAUACCGGAUAAGCCCUUAUGGGGAAGGGUUUACUGACGAAGGAUUGGCCCGGGUCUGAUUAGAGAGUAGGUGAGGUAAUGGGUCACCAAGGCGACGAUGAGUAGCUGGUCUGAGAGGAUGAUCAGCCACACUGGGACUGAGACACGGCCCAGACUCCUACGGAAGGCAGCAGUGGGGAAUAUUGGACAAUGGGGGCAACCCUGAUCCAGCCAUGCCGCGUGAGUGAUGAAGGCCUUAGGGUUGUAAAGCUCUUUUACCCGGGACGAUAAUGACUGUACCGGGAGAAUAAGCCCCGGCUAACUUCGUGCCAGCCGCCGCCGUAA